GACGAACGCUGGCGGCGUGCUUAACACAUGCAAGUCGAACGGAAAGGCCCUGCUUUUGUGGGGUGCUCGAGUGGCGAACGGGUGAGUAACACGUGAGUAACCUUCCCUUGACUUUGGGAUAACUUCAGGAAACUGGGGCUAAUACCUGAUAGGAGCUCCUGCUGCAUGGUGGGGUUUGGAACGUUUCGGCGGUUGGGGAUGGACUCACGGCUUAUCAGCUUGUUGGUGGGGUAGUGGCUUACCAAGGCUUUGACGGGUAGCCGGCCUGAGAGGGUGACCGGCCACAUUGGGACUGAGAUACGGCCCAGACUCCUACGGGAGGCAGCAGUGGGGAAUAUUGCACAAUGGGCGGAAGCCUGAUGCAGCAACGCCGCGUGCGGGAUGACGGCCUUCGGGUUGUAAACCGCUUUCGCCUGUGACGAAGCGUGAGUGACGGUAAUGGGUAAAGAAGCACCGGCUAACUACGUG
RNAcentral lists this ribosomal RNA (468 nucleotides) under uncultured bacterium. RNAcentral describes it as "partial 16S ribosomal RNA". It matches the Rfam family "Bacterial small subunit ribosomal RNA", at positions 28 to 507 of the family's 1533-position model. The record is from RNAcentral.